Molecule: ribosomal RNA, 509 nt
Filed under: Staphylococcus sp. NCCP-909
Lineage: Bacteria; Bacillati; Bacillota; Bacilli; Caryophanales; Staphylococcaceae
Description: bacterial SSU rRNA
Rfam family: Bacterial small subunit ribosomal RNA
Source: RNAcentral
ACGGUCCAGACUCCUACGGGAGGCAGCAGUAGGGAAUCUUCCGCAAUGGACGAAAGUCUGACGGAGCAACGCCGCGUGAGUGAUGAAGGUUUUCGGAUCGUAAAACUCUGUUAUUAGGGAAGAACAAAUGUGUAAGUAACUGUGCACAUCUUGACGGUACCUAAUCAGAAAGCCACGGCUAACUACGUGCCAGCAGCCGCGGUAAUACGUAGGUGGCAAGCGUUAUCCGGAAUUAUUGGGCGUAAAGCGCGCGUAGGCGGUUUCUUAAGUCUGAUGUGAAAGCCCACGGCUCAACCGUGGAGGGUCAUUGGAAACUGGGAAACUUGAGUACAGAAGAGGAAAGUGGAAUUCCAUGUGUAGCGGUGAAAUGCGCAGAGAUAUGGAGGAACACCAGUGGCGAAGGCGACUUUCUGGUCUGUAACUGACGCUGAUGUGCGAAAGCGUGGGGAUCAAACAGGAUUAGAUACCCCUGGUAGUCCACGCCCGUAAACGAUGAGUGCUAAGUGUUA